This 253-nucleotide ribosomal RNA is filed under the name uncultured bacterium. RNAcentral describes it as "partial 16S ribosomal RNA". It matches the Rfam family "Bacterial small subunit ribosomal RNA", at positions 524 to 776 of the family's 1533-position model. The record is from RNAcentral.
UACGUAGGGCGCAAGCGUUGUCCGGAAUUAUUGGACGUAAAGAGCUCGUAGGCGGCCUGUUGCGUCCGCUGUGAAAUCCCGGGGCUCAACCCCGGGCGUGCAGUGGAUACGGGCUGGCUGGAGGCAGGCAGGGGAGAACGGAAUUCCUGGUGUAGCGGUGAAAUGCGCAGAUAUCAGGAGGAACACCGGUGGCGAAGGCGGUUCUCUGGGCCUGUACUGACGCUGAGGAGCGAAAGCGUGGGGAGCGAACAGG